RNAcentral lists this ribosomal RNA (389 nucleotides) under uncultured bacterium. Its description in RNAcentral is "bacterial SSU rRNA". It matches the Rfam family "Bacterial small subunit ribosomal RNA", at positions 28 to 416 of the family's 1533-position model. The record is from RNAcentral.
GACGAACGCUGGCGGCGUGCUUAACACAUGCAAGUCGAGCGGUAAGGCCCUUUCGGGGGUACACGAGCGGCGAACGGGUGAGUAACACGUGGGUGACCUGCCCUCAGCUCUGGGAUAAGCCUGGGAAACUGGGUCUAAUACUGGAUAUGACUCCACGGUGCAUGUCGUGGGGUGGAAAGCCUUGUGCGGCUGAGGAUGGGCCCGCGGCCUAUCAGCUUGGUUGGGUGGGGUGAUGGCCUACCAAGGCGACGACGGGUAGCCGGCCUGAGAGGGCGACCGGCCACACUGGGACUGAGACACGGCCCAGACUCCUACGGGAGGCAGCAGUGGGGAAUCUUGCGCAAUGGGCGAAAGCCUGACGCAGCGACGCCGCGUGAGGGAUGACGGCC